This 1219-nucleotide long non-coding RNA is filed under the name Astyanax mexicanus (Mexican tetra). RNAcentral's name for it is "lncRNA (ENSAMXG00005018413.1)". Lineage: Eukaryota; Metazoa; Chordata; Actinopteri; Characiformes; Acestrorhamphidae. The record is from RNAcentral.
UAAAAUAAUAAUAUUGUUUUCAUUAUGUUAUCUUAUUUGUAUCUCUGUAUAUAUGUGAUAUUUUAAUUGUGUAUAUAUAUUUUUAUCUUGAGUUAGCGCUAUUUCUUCUGUCUUGUCGCUGAACUGUUGUGUUUCCCUCUGGGAUUAAUAGUGAUUAAAAGUGAUCUAUGAUCUAUCUAUGUACCUAAAAUAAACGUCCCCAAAAAAUAUCAAUACAAGCUCAAGCACACAGACACACUUGGCUCUGCACCUGUCAGUAUCAGUAUGAACUGCCGACCAAUCACAGCACAGUGGGCGGGAUCUGUCUGAAUACGGGUGGGAUAAAGAGAGCGCCUGAUGAUUAGAGAUGAAUCCAGGUAAAUGGAAACUUAUUUGUGCUGGGGAAUCCUCGGCCGGGCGUGGGCGGUAGAAACUCCCCUGUUGGGUAACAUGUCUAAACCUGUUCCUCCUGGCUUAUAUAAAGCCAGACUGCGGCUGAUUCAGACCACAAGACCUAGACCGGAUCUCUGUACCUCCAGACCCCAAAAACCGCAACGGCUGCUUUCAGUAGAGCUGCUAUCACAGCUGAGCGGAGACGAGCAGAGGAGAGCAGAGCAUCAUGGACAGGCUUCAUUCAGACAGGUGCUUCAAAACCUGGAGAAGAAGAAUCAAGAGCUUCUCGACAUCAAUAAGAAAUGGGCUGAACGAUACAGAACACUGAGACAGCAUGUCAAAAGCUACGAGCUGAGGAAAGAAGAGAAGGAGAAAGACACUAAACAGACUGGACAGGUCCUGCAGAAGAGCCUGGCAGUUCAACACAAGAGAAACCAGAGAGAGGAAAAUGUUUGGAAACAUCAGGCUCAGGUGUAUAAGGAGGACUUCUUUAAAGAGAGGAAGGAUAGAGAAAUGCUAAUGGCCAAAUACACAGACUUGGAGGAAAAGUUCAAGAAAGUCCAUGAUGAGUUACGUGCUUACAAAUUACAAGCUCGGUGGGCUCAGUUAGGCCCCUCGACAAGCCCCCCAGCACACACAUAACCCAUGUGAUGCAUCAGCGGAGUCCCAUUCAGCUACAGCAUAAAAAACGACUCAAAGCUGACCUUAUUAAGAGCUUACCCUAAGCUGUGCUGCUCCCUUUAUAUAUACCUUUAUUUGUCUGACUGUGUGAUGCUUAUUGUUAGUGUAUUAAGCGUGUUCUAUUAUUUAAAUGGAAUAAUUUAUCUGUAAAUAAAGUUAGUUAUAU